This 253-nucleotide ribosomal RNA is filed under the name uncultured bacterium. RNAcentral's name for it is "partial 16S ribosomal RNA". It matches the Rfam family "Bacterial small subunit ribosomal RNA", at positions 524 to 776 of the family's 1533-position model. The record is from RNAcentral.
UACGGGGGGGGCAAGCGUUGUUCGGAAUUACUGGGCGUAAAGGGCUCGUAGGUGGCCAACUAAGUCGGACGUGAAAUCCCUCAGCUUAACUGGGGAACUGCGUCCGAUACUGGAUGGCUUGAGUUUGGGAGAGGGAUGCGGAAUUCCAGGUGUAGCGGUGAAAUGCGUAGAUAUCUGGAGGAAUACCGAUGGCGAAGGCAGCCCCCUGGGAUAACACUGACGCUCAUGCACGAAAGCGUGGGGAGCAAACAGG